GUGGUUGCUAAAAAUUAGGGGUAGUGGGACUCAAAGGGGCUGACUUAGCUCGAAUCAUAUUUCCCCACUAUGUCCCUAUUACUUAGGAAGGAGUUAUUAUAGGGAUUAUUAGUAACUGGUUCCUCAUUCUGGCUUCACACGCAUAGAAAACAAAAACAGAUAUUCAGAGAGAAAACUCAGAGGGUUUAGAAGGAAAGGGGUGAAUCAAGGAAAGAUCAAAUUGUAGGAGUCAUCAUCUAAGUUUCUCACCACAGGUUAAUUGAGAGGUAGUGGAGUGAAGACCGCCGUGUUAAGAAUUAAGAGCUGCUGCUGCGAAGGUAAGGGACUCCACACACUUUUCUUACUUGCAAUAUAUAAAUUCUUUUGUGCUGUUAUGGUGUGGCGGUCAUCUUUAUUGCGAGUGAUUAUGUGACUGCUAUUUAUUGAUUUACUUGUGCGUAAGGGGAUAUCUUAAGUAAAUAGCUUAAGGUAGUAUUUACGAUUGGGACCGGUGGUUACCAAAGGUGUUAAAUUAGUCUCUUAAUUGAGUGGAUUUAGAGAGGUUUCAAUUAUGGAGAUUCCUGGUGUGACUAACGGAGAGGGUGUAUUCAUUCAUUCAUUCAUUCAUUCAUUGGCGUGGUUCGAAAUAUUACCCAACGGUGGGGUAACGAACCUAACGCUUUUCGGAAUAAUACUCAAUGGUGGAGUACCGAAUCUUAAUACCCAACGGUGGGGUAUUGUGUCCAAUGGUGGGACACUGUCCAAUGGUGGGACAUUUUAUUCUACUCUAUGGAGUGGCGAUAUCCGGAUCAUGUAGGUUGCAUUCGUUGUCACGUAGACUAACAAAUAGGGCUCGGUGAGUGACUAAUAAGUUGUGCAUUGGUGUUACGUGUUUAUAAUUGAUACACCGGAUACUUGGCUUGGUUAUAUGGUUGUUUUAUAAUUACAAAUCUGCUUAUGCAUAUCUACACAUAUAUCUAUAUAUACAUAUUAUAUCUGUUAGCUGGAGACAACCCUUACCUUUGGAUCAGAUGAUGACCCAAACUCACCUUUCCGAGAGGGUUCUCACGGCGGGGACUUGGCGUGACAUUCCGGACAGAGAUGAUGAUUACGUCAGUCAUGAAGUAUCUUAGCAGAAGCUUUAAGUCUGAUAUUAGCAUAGGAUUUUAAUUUGAUCAGCUUUAGGAUUUUGUUUACGUUACAUACUUGUGUUAGCUAAUUUUCUUCCGUCGAAGUUUAUACGCUGGUUUAAUUUCAUGGUGUUGUAAAUCUUAAGUUGUCAUUUGGUUUUGGCAAAUUCUCGCUGGAUUUUCUUUUGGAUCUAAAGUUUGAUUUGUUACUUUCA
Long non-coding RNA from Trifolium pratense (red clover), 1324 nucleotides. RefSeq lists it as uncharacterized. The record is from RefSeq and is a predicted model, not a curated record. Lineage: Eukaryota; Viridiplantae; Streptophyta; Magnoliopsida; Fabales; Fabaceae. The transcript has 2 exons.